AGCGAACGCUGGCGGCAGGCCUAACACAUGCAAGUCGAACGAACUCUUCGGAGUUAGUGGCGGACGGGUGAGUAACACGUGGGAACGUGCCUUUUGGUUCGGAAUAACUCAGGGAAACUUGUGCUAAUACCGAAUGUGCCCUUCGGGGGAAAGAUAUAUCGCCAUUAGAGCGGCCCGCGUCUGUUUAGCUAGUUGGUGAGGUAACGGCUCACCAAGGCGACGAUCAGUAGCUGGUCUGAGAGGAUGACCAGCCACACUGGGACUGAGACACGGCCCAGACUCCUACGGGAAGCAGCAGUGGGGAAUCUUGCGCAAUGGGCGAAAGCCUGACGCAGCCAUGCCGCGUGAAUGAUGAAGGUCUUAGGAUUGUAAAAUUCUUUCACCGGGGACGAUAAUGACGGUACCCGGAGAAGAAGCCCCGGCUAACUUCGUG
This 433-nucleotide ribosomal RNA is filed under the name uncultured bacterium. RNAcentral's name for it is "partial 16S ribosomal RNA". It matches the Rfam family "Bacterial small subunit ribosomal RNA", at positions 29 to 507 of the family's 1533-position model. The record is from RNAcentral.